GCUCGAGUGGCGAACGGGUGAGUAACACGUGAGUAACCUGCCCUUGACUUUGGGAUAACUUCAGGAAACUGGGGCUAAUACCGGAUAGGAGCUCCUGCUGCAUGGUGGGGGUUGGAAAGUUUCGGCGGUUGGGGAUGGACUCGCGGCUUAUCAGCUUGUUGGUGGGGUAGUGGCUUACCAAGGCUUUGACGGGUAGCCGGCCUGAGGGGGUGACCGGCCACAUUGGGACUGAGAUACGGCCCAG
Molecule: ribosomal RNA, 244 nt
Filed under: uncultured Actinomycetales bacterium
Lineage: Bacteria; Bacillati; Actinomycetota; Actinomycetes; Actinomycetales
Description: partial 16S ribosomal RNA
Rfam family: Bacterial small subunit ribosomal RNA
Source: RNAcentral